Camponotus floridanus (Florida carpenter ant) is the source of this 562-nucleotide long non-coding RNA. RefSeq lists it as uncharacterized. The transcript is spliced from 3 exons. The record is from RefSeq and is a predicted model, not a curated record. Lineage: Eukaryota; Metazoa; Arthropoda; Insecta; Hymenoptera; Formicidae.
AGGAAUCGUGGAUGCUCGGAACGUCGUUGUUCGUUGGCUCGUGAUAUGAAAGGCACGGUGUUGGCGGAUUAAUGCUGAUCACUACGCCAUCGGACGCGUGUCGCAGACAUGCCAGGAGCUCUAAAACGCCGACGCAGCCGACCAGCACCGAUAACAAUAAGCCCAUCUUCGAUUGAGAAAGUUCUAAACCUCAUGCUUCGCUCACCCACGCAUUACAUUCCCAUAUGAUGGCAACGAAGCGAGGGGCGACGACGACGUGAUUAUGCGUAUGCACUUGGCCAGACAAACACGCGUACACAACGUAUCGCGUGUCUACGCGCUGGAUACAAGCAUACGAUUGAGUACAUGAUGCGAUACAGUGAAAAUGUGCACUUUGUAUCGAAGCAAGUAACGGCGAAAAAUAAUCGUGUGAUCGGUGAGGUCAACGUAUUCUCGUCGUUUGACAAUGUAUAUCAUCCCUUAUAAGGAGUAUCUAUGGACCUAUUUGAAGCAACAUGGAACUACUGCCGUUAUCUUUAAAACCGCGUCCAGUGUCUAUUCAUAUUCUUCGGAAAUUGCUCGA